RNAcentral lists this long non-coding RNA (1145 nucleotides) under Homo sapiens (human). RNAcentral's name for it is "long non-coding RNA NONHSAT181070". Lineage: Eukaryota; Metazoa; Chordata; Mammalia; Primates; Hominidae. The record is from RNAcentral.
AGAACAACUUUUUUGACUUCCUGCAAAGAGGACCCUUACAGUAUUUUUGGAGAAGUUAGUAAAACCGAAUCUGACAUCAUCACCUAGCAGUUCAUGCAGCUAGCAAGUGGUUUGUUCUUAGGGUAACAGAGGAGGAAAUUGUUCCUCGUCUGAUAAGACAACAGUGGAGAAAGGACGCAUGCUGUUUCUUAGGGACACGGCUGACUUCCAGAUAUGACCAUGUAUUUGUGGCUUAAACUCUUGGCAUUUGGCUUUGCCUUUCUGGACACAGAAGUAUUUGUGACAGGGCAAAGCCCAACACCUUCCCCCACUGGUAAGAAUUAAUAUUUAUAUUUUUACUAAUUUUAUUUUCUUGUUGCAAAGUUUAUAUAUUUAACUACAAUUUUCUAUUAUUAACACUGAAAUUAUUUUUAAGGAUAAAUUUUAUAAUCAUGAGUGAUUCUUGACAUUCACUUGUUCUUAAACUUUCUGCUUAUACGUUAUAGAGUUUAAUAACUACCUAAACAUGUUAUUAAAUUUGUAUAUAUAUUUUGUGUAUAAAUAGUAACUUUUCCCAAACUUGACAGUAAAUCACACAACAGGUUUCUACUCUCUUUUAAUAUUUUAAGACUAUAAAAAAAUGCAUUUAAAUUAGAUAACAAAAUUUUAUAGUCUGAAAGCAGGUUAACAGCUGUCUAUGUAUGUUAUAGAUAUGUAGAUAACAGAUUUGCAUAUGUCUAUAUUUCUUUAAGAGUAUGUUGCUUUUUUCAAUGGUAUGCAAAACCUUUGAGACUAUUGAGAUAUUUUUAAAUAAUAAUUUUCAAAUUCUACUGAACACUUCAAUAGUCCUUAUAAAUGUCUUAAUCAUGAGAUAAAUUUAAAACACAGAGAUGCUGCAAAUAAAUUCAUACAUAGUACAUACAAAAUAAGAGAAAAAAUUAAAUUGCAGAUGGUUAAAUAUCACAUCACUUAACUGAUGUUACUGAAAAUGUAUUUUCCUGCAUAAUCAUAUGGUUGACAGUAUGCAUUAAGAAGGUAAGUAAAACAAUGAAGACAAUUUUGAUUUAAUAUGGUAAUGCACAAUUCCAACUAACGUACAUUCAACAGAUCAUGAAAUUGGGUUAUUAAAAUGAAUAUUUUUGUCAUUAAAUAAAAAUUCCGUCCAA